UGGCUGCCUCCUCCAGGAGAUGAUGGCUGUGUGAGUGCCUGCCAUGGCCCACCGAAAGUGUGAGAGCGCAAGGAGCGGCAUGUUGGAUCACAGAGCGAGGCCGGGCACCGUUCCCCAUGGCCAAGAGCGAAGACGAGGAGCUGCCCUUAGAGGACUAGGUACCCGAGGGCCUGGAACUGGCUGCCCUAUAGCCAGAGAGCCCCAUGCCCAAGGAGUAGGAAUGCCACAACCACAACCCCGAUGGGGAUUCCAACUAUGUGAACAACACCUCCGAGGAGGAGGACUACGACGAGGGCCUCCCCGAGGAGGAGGAGGGCAUCACCUACUACAUCUGCUACUGCCCCGAGGACAACAGCUACCUGGAGGGCAGGGACUGCAAUGGGAAGGAGUACCUGGCCCACGGCAUGCACCCCGUUGACACUGACACGUGCCAGGAGCAUCCACACUACAUGCCUCCUAACUGGAACGUCCAGUGAAGAGCUCAGCCACCAUUAGAACUGCAAGGCACCCAGCCCCUCCCACCGCCUCGCUUCAGCAUCUGCAGGGGCUGUACUAGGAGGUCCCUUGCUCUCGGGCCCCUCUGCUACCUUCUCUGGGACAGGAGAGUCUUACUCUGGGACAGGAGAGGAGUGGCUGGACUAGGUGGGCCUGCACCCUCAUAGCCACUGUGCUGAGGGCAGCCAGGACUACCCAGACGGCCACCUGCCCAUCCUGGAGGACGAGCCCUCUGUCCUGGAGGCCCACGACCAGGAAUAAGAUGGCCAGUACUGUCCCAGAAAAGAGGGCUACUAGGGCUGCUACCCCACAGAGGCCAAUGGGAACACCGGUGCCUCCCCUUACCAACUGAGGCAUGGGGACGGGAACCUGGAGGACCAGGAGGAUGACACUGACCCUAUCGUGGCAAAGAUCAAGAGGAGCCUGAGCAUGACCAGCAUCACCAGUGCCAGUGAAACCAGCAUGGUCCUGAGCCAAGAUGUGGGGACUCUGCAGAGGCCUGCGUACCCAGCCAGGCCAGCUGCAACCCCAGCAGGCACGAAGCGAAACCCAAGUCACUGAACCUCCCUCCUGAGGCCAAGCACUGUGAAGACCCCCAGAGAGGCUUCAAGCCCAAGACUAGGACCCCAGAGGAGAGGCCGCAGUCAUCCCACAAGCAGGCUCUUAGUGCAUCUAGGAUCCUGAGCUGCCAGGGGCCUGGCCACUCCCGCCCCGAGCCCUGCCUUGGCUGAGCUGGUCACCGCUGCGUGUCCCGGGCUGCCGGCCUGCCUGUCAUCUGCAGUGCACAGGCCUCUGGAAACCAACCACCUUCUACUUUCUGUCUUAUGAAUUGGACUACUCUAGGUACUUCAGACUCACUCUGUCACCGAGGCUAAGUGAAGUGCAGUGGCGCAAUCUUGGCUGACUACAAGCUCCACCUCCUAUGUUGAAGCAGUUCUCCUUCCUCAGCGUCCGGAGUAGCUGGGACAAAAUUAUCUUUUAAAUGAGCACAAAGUAAAAUUGAUAAGAGUGGACAGUACUUUUAAAAAUACUUGCCUGAUGGUAUAAAAAUGUGAAGUACAUGAACUCUGUGAGCCUUAAAUACCAGAAGAACACUGUGGUUUUGGCCAACAAAUUGGAGAUUGCUCAAGUCUCUUUCAGAGGACAGUGCUCUCGGGGACUCUGUCACGUCUCUACUUUCUCCUGGCACCUAGUACAAUGCCUGGCAUGUAGCUGGAACUCACUCUGUGCACAGAAUGCCCUGGAGCACAGAAGGAAAUUAAGAAAACCAAGAUGUAGUGCUGUCAGCUGUGGCGAAUCCAUUCGGGUCUGCAGCAACCUCAAUUCUAGCCCCUCAGAAGAAAGAAUUUGACUGAAGGCAGGGGAGACUGAGGCAAGUUUUAGAGCAAGAGUGAAAGUUUAUUAAAAACCUUUAGCACAGGAGCAUAAGGAAGUAAAGGACACUUGGAAGAGGGCCAAGCAGGUGCCUUGAGAGAUAAGUGUGCUGUGUGCCCUUUGACUUGGGGUCUUAUACACUGGGAAGCUUCCAGGGUGCUGCAUCCCUUCCCGUGCCCCCAUUCUUCCCUUGGGGUGGGCUGUCCACAUGCACCCUGUGUUUCUGGAGUUGAACACAUGCUCAUUUGAUGCAUUCUUCUCUUACCAGUAGAACCUUCCCAGAAGGUCAUAUACCAGUGAAACGUAGUUGUUUUGCCUCUUAGUGCGCAUGUGUGAGCCCACUUCCCCAGCUCGUGAGAUCUUACUGGGAGACUGCUGCUCACCAGUUUCAGGUGUUUCUACCUAUUGGGAGACUACAUUUCCCUGGUCCCUGCUGCAUCUGAUUAUUGUUUUGGAGAGACAGCUUAACUGCCAGACUCUCACCUGGCAUUGAUCAGGCAAGAGAAUGAAGAAGAGAGGGUAAGAAAAACCUAUAGAUUUAAAAGACACGUAAGAGAGAAAUCAAUCAAAUUCAGUGUAAUCAAAUUCAGCCUGGCAUUCCUGAUGCAGGGAGGUUGGGGGCUCUCCUGCCCUGCUUAUGUCUGGUUUGCUACCUUCUGUAACAGUGCUGCAUAUUUAAAUAUCCACAUCUGCAUGCAAAUACUGCAACAGAACAUGAAACAAUACUUUCUAGAGCCACAGUCAAUGCAAGAGUGAAAAAGUGUAUUCCAAGUCAUCUGCAACAGAAACAUUUGCCCCUUGUCUUUCAGAUACAAUUUCUGUCAAUGUAGUGUCCGACAGAGUGGAGAAAGUUGUAUUCAGUAAGAAACCACUUUAUUUUCCAUUUGAUUUCCCAGAUUUGUGUAAAAGAGACACCAAACAUUCACUGCCAUUCCCAAUGACCUGAUCUCUGAGAUGAAAUUUUCUAAUUUAGUAAAAAUAUAGAGGAGGAAAAUAAACUUUAACAGGAGGAAGGAUAGACAGCCUAACCUAUAGCUCAAGCUAUGAAACACUAAGCCAGAUACAACAACAUUGGCAAAAGAUUACAAAGGAUAUUUCUAUGCCUGAUAAAAUGUCUAUUAAUGUUAAUAUUAAAUAUUUUUUAUAAUUUAAAAAUA
Cebus imitator (Panamanian white-faced capuchin) is the source of this 3026-nucleotide long non-coding RNA. RefSeq lists it as uncharacterized. Lineage: Eukaryota; Metazoa; Chordata; Mammalia; Primates; Cebidae. The transcript has 7 exons. The record is from RefSeq and is a predicted model, not a curated record.